Molecule: long non-coding RNA, 2273 nt
Organism: Manis pentadactyla (Chinese pangolin)
Lineage: Eukaryota; Metazoa; Chordata; Mammalia; Pholidota; Manidae
Exons: 2
Source: RefSeq, a predicted model, not a curated record
GUGGCCAUAAAACACCAAACUCACGUUGGCAGCCACAGUCAAGAGUAAGGUGAAGGGCUGUGAGGGAAAUUUCUAAUGCUUUGUAUCACAAACAGACAGGGCUGAGUUUAUACCAAACCAGAGAAGGUCAUGCAAAGUGGAAACCCUAGGGGCCCAAGAGCCUUGGUUAGAUUUUUCUCUAUCAUUUGCUCUCAAAGAACCCUGUAAUAUUUCAUUCCUAGCAUACCUUAUAAUUACAGCAGAUUACUGAGUAAUUAUUUGUUAGUGUUGUUCUCUUUAGACUCUAAGUUCCAGGUAAGCAGGGAUAAUCUUGUCCCUGGACGUUGCCUUCUGCCCAGCAUGUAGUGUCUAACUCACAGUAGGUUCUCAGUGAUGACUGGGUCAUUGAAUGAGUAAAAUCGGUGCAAUCAGGGGUGCAACAGGAAUGAGCACCCAUGUCGCAGGGAUGGCUGGUGAAGGAGAGAGGCAAGAAGAAACUGCACUAGUAGAGUUGUGGUUCCCUUUGGGGGUGACUCCAGGUCUUCCAGGUAUAGUGUAGCCCAUGGACUAGGAGCCUCAGCAUCACUGAGAGCUUGAUGGGACUGGAGAUCUUGGCCCCACCUGCUGAUGAAACAGGGUCCGCAUUUGAAAAGAGAUCCAGGGGAUUUGUGUGUGCCUUAAAGUCUGAGAAGCACUGCUGUAUGACACGAGCAAACACCCUACCACCUAAUGUAAUCAUAAGACUGCUGAGGGCACGCCAAGCACCAGUGGCCAAGGAAAAUGAGGGGAAGGUGGAGAACCUGCCCACCGAAACCAUUACACAAUGGUAUAGAUGUAACGUGAUGUUCUAUCUUCAGACAGGGAAGCCUCUUGCAGAGAGCACAAUGAAGAAGGUAAGCAACUUAAUGUAGACUUACAUAGCCAGUCCUGAAAUUGGUCUGUGUGAAGUGACUGAAAGGCAGCAAAUCAUGGCAAGUUUUAAGACUAUAAACAUUAUUAAUUCACAUGGGGAAAAAAUCACACCCUUCAAACAAGGAAAGCCAAAGGUUGAAAUGUAGGGACCAUUUGUUCACAAUUGAUUCAUACCAAUUGGCUGAAUUUGCAGGAAAGGAAAGAGAAAAUGAGCAUGAAUGAAUGAAUCCUGGGAGGUAAAUAGUUGGUUAAAUCAGUGGCACAGGUCAGUGAUAUUCAAACUGUGCCUUGUUGAAUAUGAGGUUCUUAAGAGAUCCCUCUGAGAAUGAUGUGAGAGGGAAGGAGGUAAAUGGGAGACAGGAGGCCAUAUUCAGCCAGAAGAACUGUUUUAUAUAUCUGGGUAUCACAUUCUACCAAGGAGCUGGAGUGGUACAACAGAGACAUGGGUUGGCUUGCAUGCCAUGUUGGAUGGAUGACAAAAAAAGGGUUUGGUCAGUGGGAAGUUUUAACCUAAAUAAUUAUAAUAGGUCAUGGGGGUGUCUUCAGACCCUCCUUACAGGAAAGGAUAGAAAGUAUAGAGACUGAAGACAUUUAUUUUUGUAGGUACCUAUUAUUUAGCCCAAACAUCCACCACACAUGGCGUCAUUAAAAGCUUGCUCCCAAAUCUCUGUCCACCUGAGCCCAGCGUUUGUCUUAGCACAUAAUUCUAGGCAGUUAUUAACAACUGAUUGGAAAUUGUACUGGAGUUGAAAUUCGCUUACAACUUGAGUUCCAGGAAAUAGGAAGACAUGUCAAUAAUUUCUCUAAUUAUUCAUAUUUUAGUAAUGCAGCAUUGAUUUUACAUGGGGACAAUAAAUAAGCAUUUGUCAAUUUUCCUAGCUGCUCAGCACCAUUUGAACCCUUCCUAUUACUGGAAUGUUCCCUAUCUUAUAAAUAACACCUCCCUAAGAAUGGAGCCCACAACUCAUUUCCCCCAGCCUCCCUUGAAGAUAGACUCUACCAAUCACAUGCAGCUGUGCAGGACUUCUAAUUGGAAGAGAGCAGCAGGAUGCAGCUGGCAUAUCACAGAUUUCAUUUUUGGGUAAAAUGGAUUGUGAAGGCUUCCAGCUUUCUAGCGCAUAAUGGUGGAGAUUUUGGCACCUGGCUAUCAUCUCCAGUGGUGCAAGCUGAGGUAUCCUGAUCCAGCUUCAUCAGGAAUGGGGUCCUGGCUGGAGCAGAGAGUGGAUCCUGUGGUUUGCAACUAAGAAUCCUGAACCUGUGGUUAAAAAGAAAAAGCUCUAAUCCUUCAUCUUUCCUUGUAUUGGCUCUUGAUUGCUGUCUAAUAAAUUAUACUGUACUUUAGUGACUGACGACAACAAUAAACCUUACCCCAUCUCACAGUU